GAUGAACGCUGGCGGCGUGCCUAAUACAUGCAAGUCGAGCGAACGGACGAGAAGCUUGCUUUUCUGAUGUUAGCGGCGGACGGGUGAGUAACACGUGGAUAACCUACCUAUAAGACUGGGAUAACUUCGGGAAACCGGAGCUAAUACCGGAUAAUAUUUUGAACCGCAUGGUUCAAAAGUGAAAGACGGUCUUGCUGUCACUUAUAGAUGGAUCCGCGCUGCAUUAGCUAGUUGGUAAGGUAACGGCUUACCAAGGCAACGAUGCAUAGCCGACCUGAGAGGGUGAUCGGCCACACUGGAACUGAGACACGGUCCAGACUCCUACGGCAGGCAGCAGUAGGGAAUCUUCCGCAAUGGGCGAAAGCCUGACGGAACAACGCCGCGUGAGUGAUGAAGGUCUUCGGAUCGUAAAACUCUGUUAUUAGGGAAGAACAUAUGUGUAAGUAACUGUGCACAUCUUGACGGUACCUAAUCAGAAAGCCACGGCUAACUACGUG
Molecule: ribosomal RNA, 497 nt
Filed under: uncultured bacterium
Lineage: Bacteria
Description: partial 16S ribosomal RNA
Rfam family: Bacterial small subunit ribosomal RNA
Source: RNAcentral